This 402-nucleotide unclassified non-coding RNA is filed under the name soil metagenome. RNAcentral's name for it is "partial contains 5.8S ribosomal RNA, internal transcribed spacer 2, and large subunit ribosomal RNA". The stretch from base 1 to 121 matches the Rfam family "5.8S ribosomal RNA", at positions 35 to 154 of the family's 154-position model. The record is from RNAcentral.
GAUGAAGAACGCAGCGAAAUGCGAUAAGUAAUGUGAAUUGCAGAAUUCAGUGAAUCAUCGAAUCUUUGAACGCACCUUGCGCCCUUUGGCCAUUCCGAAGGGCAUGCCUGUUUGAGUAUCAUGAACACCUCAACUCUCAUGGCUCGCCAUGAUGAGCUUGGACUUUGGGGGUCUUGCUGGCCUGUGGUCGGCUCCUCUCAAAUGGAUCAGCUUGCCAGUGUUUGGUGGCAUCACAGGUGUGAUAACUAUCUGCGCUUGUGGUUUUCCAUCAGAUAACCUUCAGUGAUGGAGGUUCGCUGGAGCUCAUAAACGUCUCCCCUAAGCGGGGACAGCCCUUUGAAUGUUUGAUCUCAAAUCAGGUAGGACUACCCGCUGAACUUAAGCAUAUCAAUAAGCGGAGGA